UCCCUCAUAGCUCAGUUGGUAAAGAAUCUGCCUGCAUUGUAGGAGACCCAGGUUCGAUUCCUGGGCUGGGAA
RNAcentral lists this transfer RNA (72 nucleotides) under Bos taurus (domestic cattle). It matches the Rfam family "tRNA". From Rfam's summary of the family: Transfer RNA (tRNA) molecules are approximately 80 nucleotides in length. RNAcentral also lists the same sequence under 2 other names. Lineage: Eukaryota; Metazoa; Chordata; Mammalia; Artiodactyla; Bovidae. The record is from Rfam by way of RNAcentral.